GGGGAAUUUUGGACAAUGGAGGCAACCCUGAUCCAGCAACGCCGCGUGAAUGAAGAAGGCCCUAGGGUUGUAAAGUUCUUUUGUCGCAGAGCAAAAGGGAGAUGCUAAUAUCAUCUUCAAAUGAGAGUAUGCGAAGAAUAAGCACCGGCUAACUACGUGCCAGCAGCCGCGGUAAUACGUAGGGUGCAAGCGUUAAUCGGAAUUACUGGGCGUAAAGCGUGCGCAGGCGGAUGAUUAAGUUAGAAGUGAAAUCCCCGGGCUUAACCUGGGAAUUGCUUUUGAUACUGGUCGUCUAGAGUUUGUCAGAGGGGGGUGGAAUUCCAAGUGUAGCAGUGAAAUGCGUAGAGAUUUGGAGGAACACCAAUGGCGAAGGCAGCCCCCUGGGAUAGAACUGACGCUCAUGCACGAAAGCGUGGGUAGCAAAC
This 425-nucleotide ribosomal RNA is filed under the name uncultured bacterium. RNAcentral's name for it is "bacterial SSU rRNA". It matches the Rfam family "Bacterial small subunit ribosomal RNA", at positions 356 to 773 of the family's 1533-position model. The record is from RNAcentral.